AUUGAACGCUGGCGGCAGGCCUAACACAUGCAAGUCGAACGCGUGGCGGACGGGUGAGUAAUGUCUGGGAGACUGCCCCUUGGGGGGGGGUAACUACUGUAAACGGUAGCUAAUACCGCAUACCCUCGGAUGUGCCCAUAUGGGAUUAGCGAGUGGGUGGGGUAACGGCUCACCUAGGCGACGAUCCCUAGCUGGUCUGAGAGGAUGACCAGCCACACUGGAACUGAGACACGGUCCAGACUCCUACGGGAGGCAGCAGUGGGGAAUAUUGCACAAUGGGCGCAAGCCUGAUGCAGCCAUGCCGCGUGUAUGAAGAAGGCCUUCGGGUUGUAAAGUACUUUCAGCGAGGAGGCGUUACUCGCAGAAGAAGCACCGGCUAACUCCGUGCCAGCCGCCGCGGUAAUUC
This 406-nucleotide ribosomal RNA is filed under the name uncultured bacterium. RNAcentral describes it as "partial 16S ribosomal RNA". It matches the Rfam family "Bacterial small subunit ribosomal RNA", at positions 30 to 526 of the family's 1533-position model. The record is from RNAcentral.